GGCGAACGCUGGCGGCGUGCUUAACACAUGCAAGUCGAACGGAAAGGCCCUGCUUUUGUGGGGUGCUCGAGUGGCGAACGGGUGAGUAACACGUGAGUAACCUGCCCUUGACUUUGGGAUAACUUCAGGAAACUGGGGCUAAUACCGGAUAGGAGCUCCUGCUGCAUGGUGGGGGUUGGAUAGUUUCGGCGGUUGGGGAUGGACUCGCGGCCUAUCAGCUUGUUGGUGGGGUAGUGGCUUACCAAGGCUUUGACGGGUAGCCGGCCUGAGAGGGUGACCGGCCACAUUGGGACUGAGAUACGGCCCAGACUCCAACGGGAGGCAGCAGUGGGGAAUAUUGCACAAUGGGCGGAAGCCUGAUGCAGCAACGCCGCGUGCGGGAUGACGGCCUUCGGGUUGUAAACCGCUUUCGCCUGUGACGAAGCGUGAGUGACGGUAAUGGGUAAAGAAGCACCGGCUAACUACGUG
RNAcentral lists this ribosomal RNA (468 nucleotides) under uncultured bacterium. Its description in RNAcentral is "partial 16S ribosomal RNA". It matches the Rfam family "Bacterial small subunit ribosomal RNA", at positions 28 to 507 of the family's 1533-position model. The record is from RNAcentral.